UUAAAGUUAAAGAUUUAGAAACUAAUGAAACGACAACAUAUGAAUCUGAUUUUGUAUUUAUUGGUGCUG
RNAcentral lists this small RNA (69 nucleotides) under Staphylococcus aureus. RNAcentral's name for it is "HMPRFS0000_2639". Lineage: Bacteria; Bacillati; Bacillota; Bacilli; Caryophanales; Staphylococcaceae. The record is from RNAcentral.